UUCUUGCUUCUUUUAGUACUGAAUCUUUUCAUUUAAUGUUUUAAACAGUUUAAUUAUUGUUGAUGCGCCACAAUACAUAAGUACAUAACUGUGAUUUGAGGGGGCCUCUUCAAUUUCACAGCUGAUCAAAACCCAAAACUAAACUAUGUUAUAUGAGACUUUCAAAUACCUUUAUCACUUCAAAACUUUGUACCAGGAGACAUUAGAAGAUAGUAUAGAGAGAGAAUCGCAGGCGCGUGGACGACACUCUCGGCGAUUUUCUCUCCCAAACUUUUUCUUCUUCUGAUCACAACCUCUUGCACCGUCGAUGGUGGUUCUCCGUCGAUUCCGGCGAUGAAGAGAGCCCCAAGGCUCAUGGUGUUUCAUCCGUAAACUGCAGCAUCAACAAAGUGAAGCUUUCAGAUCAAAAUCAAGGGAGCAGUGGAAGGGAGAAGUUUCCUUGACACACCGACGGUAAGAGCUCUAUCGGCGGUGAUGCGACGUGGAGUAGAAGAGGGAGAUUCACGGUAAGGAUCGAGGGAGCAAGGUGGUUAGAUCCGAAGACUGGAGAUUCUGGAGGCUUCUCACGGCUGUUGUUCGAUGGGGGAGGUCGUCUAUGGCUAGGAGGAGCUAAGCCACCGUCGAAGGUUUCAGAUCUACUCCCUACCGCCUUUGAUCUCUCACAUAUGAGCCUGAAUCUCUUCGACAAUCAAAGCUCGGAUCUCUUCUUCCUCCUCAAAGCUGCUCUACGGUGGCGGGAUAACAACGGAUCUUGGAUCACCAUCUCUGUUUGACUCACGUCGUCCAGACUCACCGGAGGACCUGAUCCGAUGAGCAUCCGCAAUAUCAUGGGCGGCGGCUUAAACUGAGUUCUUCAGUUUGAGAUUAGGGUUACAGAGCAACCGAUUUGAUUCCGGUUCGCUAUUAGAUAAACCCGAGUCAAUUUUGAUUUUUGGUUUUACUUGGUUUGAUGUUUGUGGUUUAGGUCCUAAAGGAAUUAUUGUAAAUGAGCCUAAAUCCGGAAAUAACCCAUUGGACAUUUAUUUAUAAUAUUGAAUACCUUUCAAAAAAAAAA
Camelina sativa (false flax) is the source of this 1054-nucleotide non-coding RNA. NCBI's taxonomy places the organism in Eukaryota, Viridiplantae, Streptophyta, Magnoliopsida, Brassicales, Brassicaceae. The record is from RefSeq and is a predicted model, not a curated record.